GGAGAGAUGGCUUACAGGUCAAGAGCACUGGCUGCUCUUCCAGAGGUCCUGGGUUCGAUUCCCAGCAUCUACA
RNAcentral lists this transfer RNA (73 nucleotides) under Rattus norvegicus (Norway rat). It matches the Rfam family "tRNA". From Rfam's summary of the family: Transfer RNA (tRNA) molecules are approximately 80 nucleotides in length. Their secondary structure includes four short double-helical elements and three loops (D, anti-codon, and T loops). Lineage: Eukaryota; Metazoa; Chordata; Mammalia; Rodentia; Muridae. The record is from Rfam by way of RNAcentral.